GGGGGAGCAGACUCCCCACUAUGCAGAGAGCCCGAUGUGGGGCUCCAUCCCAGGAGAUCAUGACCUGAGCCAAAGCCAGAGGAUUAACCCGCUGAGCCACCCAGGCCUCCCAAGGCAACUUGUUUCAACUCCCCUUCGCAGGUGAGAGAUUUGGCGCCCCAGGAUGUUAAGUUCACCCAAGUUAGCACGCUUACAGAGGAUUGGAGCUGGACCCCAGGACCUUCUGACUCCCAAACCAGUACCGUUAAGCUGGGGAUUGAAGGAGAAGCUCUAAUGUGGGCCAACCUUUGUUGAGGCUAGCAACCAGAAUUUGCAUCUGCAUUUCUUUAAUUAGAACAUGUUGUAUUUCCAAUUAUAAAAUUAAUUCUGGUCUAAUGUAGGUAUUUCAGAAAAUACUAAAAUAUAGGAAGGAAAGCAAAUCAACCCUAUUCCUACCACCCAGAGGUAAUAAUGAAGAUCUUGAUGUAGUUCCCCCACUCUUUUUUCUAUACCCACAUGUAAAGGCAGUUCGCAUAAGGCGAAUAAUCCCAAGCACACCAUUCUGUAUCAGGAGAUAGGAAGGGUCUGGCAGAUGCAAUUCAUGAACCCCUUGCUGAGACUGGACCCCCCAGGUGCCCCCAGCUUCAACAAACCCAGAUGACAGUUACCCUACCACUAGUCCAAUAGAAACCUUACCAGGUUGGGGAUUUGUGCAUUUCACCCAGUUACCAUUGGACAAACCCUGCUCUGAUGCUUUCCCUUCUCCCACUGUUCCUGUGUCUUUUAGAAGACCAAAUCAUUCCUUUGCCUGGAGUAUAGAGACUACAGAUGUCACACACACCUUCCAGGCUGCCCAACCCCAUCAGGAACAAAGCAUUCCCAGAGUGAAGUCCCCAGGAGGACAGAGGCAGUGCUACGGCUUAAAGCACAGAAUCUUACUGUUUCUUGGCCCAAGUCUGCUGCAGGACUCACGGAGGAGAGUGAAGAAACAAAGCCAUCUUUGAAAUCAAUUAUAAAGACCAAAACAAUGAUGAUGUCGUUUAUUUUUUUUAUUUGACACAGAGAGAACACAAGCAGGAGGAGCAUCAGAGUGAGAGGAAGAAGCAGGCUCCCCGAGAAGCCGGAAGCCCAACACUGGGGCUUAGUGUGGGGAGUCUCGGCUCAUGACCUGAGCCAAAGGAGUCUGCCAGGAAUCUCUCUCUGCUCCCCAGCCCCUCCAUUCAGAAUCCUCCUAUGAUUUCCGCCACGUCCCCCCUCCCCCGCCCCAGCCCCACUCUUCUGAUGGGGGCUGGUCUGCCAUGCAGAAUCCCAGAGUCCAAGGGCUGUGUCUUUCAACCAUUCCUCUGUCCCUGGCACUCACUGAACACAGUGCUCUGCACACAGUAGGCUGUGUUAGUCUGCUUGGGCUUCUGUAACAAAAACACUGAAGACUGGGUGGCCUAUAAGCAACGGAAAUUUAUUUCCCACAGUAUCGGGGGCCGGGAAGUGCAAGACCAAGGUGCCAACAGAUUCGGUGUCUGGUGAGAGCGCACCUCCUGGUUUGCAGACAGCCAUUUUCUUUCUGUGUCCUCUUAGGGUGGACGGGACUGAGGGAUUUCUCUUCAGGUCUCAUUUGUAAGGGCAAGGAUCCUAUUCAUAGGGCUUCCACCCAGGUAACCUAUUCACCUUACAAAGGCCUCACCUCCUCCUACUAUCACCUUAGGGGUGAGGUUUUAAUGUACGAAUUUUGGAGGGACACAUUCGGUCUAGAGCACAGGUGCUCUGAAAGAAAUGAAUGAAUUAAUAAAACCGUCCAGUAUUGCCACAGAUAUAUACAGAUGAAAAGAAUAUCUGGUGUGAUCCAGAGAGUUCACUCAUUAAAAAUUCAGUAAAAGAGGCAAAGGUAUGUAAAAGUAGAAGAAUGUGUACUGCAGUACCUUUUAAUGGCAGAACGCCAGAAAGAAUCCAAAUGCCCAACAAGCGAGAGAACAGAGGGACCAAUUCCAAUAUAUUCUUAAAGGGAAGGUACCACACGGCCGUGAAAAGUAAUGAACUAGAACUCUAUGCAUCAGCUUGGAUAAAUCUCAGAAAUUAGAGCAUUGAGUAAAAAAACCAAAAAGCUGGCUGCAAGAUAAUAAAUAAGCUAAUUGCAAAAGGACACAUACAUAAUACUAGUUCAUAAAAUUCAGAACUAUGGAAGACAAUUCAGUAUAUUUUUAUGAGCACCUACAUGUACAGUAAAAGCAGAGAAACUCUGAAUACCAAGUUCAGGAGAGAGUUUAUGGCUGUGGGGGGAGAAAGAGGGCAGCAAAGAUCCCAGAGCACUUUCAUUGUGUCUUUAAUGUUCUACUUCUGAUGCCGUUUGGUGGAUACAUAGUUUUAUUGUUUUUUGGAUUUUCUAUUGUAUGCCUGAAAUAUUUUAUUUUAUUUUUUAUUUUUAUUAUUUUUUUAAGAUUUUAUUUAUUUAUUUGAUGGAGAGAUCACAAGUAGGUGAGGAGGCAGGCAGGGGGUGGGGGGAAGGAGCAGGCUCCCUGCCAAGCAGCCCCGAAUGGGCUUGAUCCCAGGACCCUGAGAUCAUGACCUGAGCUGAAGGCAGAGGCUUAACCCACUGAGUCACCUAGGUGCCCCCCUGUAUGCCUGAAAUAUUUUAUUAAAGAAAAAAAACCCAAGCUAGCUGUUGAGAGUGAAGGCCUAAUUCCUAUCUCCAUUCAGAUAUUCGCUAUGUGUCUCGAACAAGCGAUUUAAUUUCUGAGCUUCGGUUUCCUCAA
Molecule: long non-coding RNA, 2726 nt
Organism: Mustela lutreola (European mink)
Lineage: Eukaryota; Metazoa; Chordata; Mammalia; Carnivora; Mustelidae
Exons: 3
Source: RefSeq, a predicted model, not a curated record